CCUACGGGAGGCAGCAGUGAGGAAUAUUGGUCAAUGGACGAGAGUCUGAACCAGCCAAGUAGCGUGAAGGAUGACUGCCCUAUGGGAUGUAAACUUCUUUUAUAUGGGAAUAAAACGUUCCACGUGUGGGAUUUUGUAUGUACCAUAUGAAUAAGGAUCGGCUAACUCCGUGCCAGCAGCCGCGGUAAUACGGAGGAUCCGAGCGUUAUCCGGAUUUAUUGGGUUUAAAGGGAGCGUAGGUUGAUUGUUAAGUCAGUUGUGAAAGUUUGCGUCUCAACCGUAAAAUUGCAGUUGAAACUGGCAGUCUUGAGUACAGUAGAGGUGGGCGGGAUUCGUGGUGUAGCGGUGAAAUGCUUAGAUAUCACGAAGAACUCCGAUUGCGAAGGCAGUUCACUGGACUGCAACUGACACUGAGGCUCGAAAGUGUGGGUAUCAAACAGGAUUAGAUACCCGGGUAGUC
Molecule: ribosomal RNA, 460 nt
Filed under: uncultured bacterium
Lineage: Bacteria
Description: partial 16S ribosomal RNA
Rfam family: Bacterial small subunit ribosomal RNA
Source: RNAcentral